RNAcentral lists this long non-coding RNA (677 nucleotides) under Mus musculus (house mouse). RNAcentral describes it as "RIKEN cDNA C330008A17 gene". Lineage: Eukaryota; Metazoa; Chordata; Mammalia; Rodentia; Muridae. The record is from RNAcentral.
AACUCGGCCCUGGAAUUGGGAAGGGUGCAGGGAAGAGGAGGCGCAGAUGUGCGCUUGUCUCACACGAGCAGCCACAUUUAGCCACUGAGUCGGGACUGAAAUAUUCCUGAGGGAGAAGAACCCUGAGGCUUCAGGGCGGCAACGGCUCGGGCUCUCGUCAGUGGGGAGCUGGGAAGGGAUGUUGUCACCAUCUGCCUCGUGUCUGUCUGUGACUAAAAUAAUACUGGGGCCCUGCUUGGCACAUCCUAACUUCUCUGACUGCAUUUUGGGAUCACUACUGAGUCUGAACCUCAGCGCCCUUCGAGGGGCAGAGCCACAGGUUGGGAGUGGGUGCUGAGACUGGGAGAGAGACUUUUUUUUAUGGGGGGCAGCUACAGAGGCCGAUCUAGAGAUGUGCUCCUUCAGCUCUUCUCUCACUGAGCCUGCUUCCUGAUCAGAACAAUGGGCCUGUACCUGCGGACCUACCCACUAAGUAUCCUGUGAGCCGUCCUGCUCUGUGCUCUGAGAAACCGACAUGAAGGCCCAUGUACUGGUCUGCCUGGAGACUGAGGAAGAGUUAAGACUGAUUCAUUCUUCCUUGCCUGGACCAAGACUCUGACUUGUCUUCCUUCCUACACUCCUCCCGUUGGAGGGAUGUAUAUACUCAUAAAAGAGGGUGAGCUCACAGGUCAUCCAUC